UUUGUCCUGGCUCAGAACGAACGCUGGCGGCAGGCUUAACACAUGCAAGUCGAGCGCCCCGCAAGGGGAGCGGCAGACGGGUGAGUAACGCGUGGGAAUCUACCCAUCUCUACGGAACAACUCCGGGAAACUGGAGCUAAUACCGUAUACGUCCUUCGGGAGAAAGAUUUAUCGGAGAUGGAUGAGCCCGCGUUGGAUUAGCUAGUUGGUGGGGUAAUGGCCUACCAAGGCGACGAUCCAUAGCUGGUCUGAGAGGAUGAUCAGCCACACUGGGACUGAGACACGGCCCAGACUCCUACGGGAGGCAGCAGUGGGGAAUAUUGGACAAUGGGCGAAAGCCUGAUCCAGCCAUGCCGCGUGAGUGAUGAAGGCCCUAGGGUUGUAAAGCUCUUUCAACGGUGAAGAUAAUGACGGUAACCGUAGAAGAAGCCCCGGCUAACUUCGUGCCAGCAGCCGCGGUAAUACGAAGGGGGCUAGCGUUGUUCGGAAUUACUGGGCGUAAAGCGCACGUAGGCGGAUACUUAAGUCAGGGGUGAAAUCCCGGGGCUCAACCCCGGAACUGCCUUUGAUACUGGGUAUCUGGAGUCCGGAAGAGGUGAGUGGAAUUCCGAGUGUAGAGGUGAAAUUCGUAGAUAUUCGGAGGAACAUCACAGUGGCGAAGGCGGCUACACUGGUCCCGG
Molecule: ribosomal RNA, 680 nt
Filed under: uncultured bacterium
Lineage: Bacteria
Description: bacterial SSU rRNA
Rfam family: Bacterial small subunit ribosomal RNA
Source: RNAcentral